RNAcentral lists this transfer RNA (77 nucleotides) under Streptobacillus sp. Its description in RNAcentral is "tRNA-Asp". It matches the Rfam family "tRNA". From Rfam's summary of the family: Transfer RNA (tRNA) molecules are approximately 80 nucleotides in length. Their secondary structure includes four short double-helical elements and three loops (D, anti-codon, and T loops). Further hydrogen bonds mediate the characteristic L-shaped molecular structure. tRNAs have two regions of fundamental functional importance: the anti-codon, which is responsible for specific mRNA codon recognition, and the 3' end, to which the tRNAs corresponding amino acid is attached (by aminoacyl-tRNA synthetases). tRNAs cope with the degeneracy of the genetic code in two manners: having more than one tRNA (with a specific anti-codon) for a particular amino acid; and 'wobble' base-pairing, i.e. permitting non-standard base-pairing at the 3rd anti-codon position. RNAcentral also lists the same sequence under 1 other name. The record is from RNAcentral. Lineage: Bacteria; Fusobacteriati; Fusobacteriota; Fusobacteriia; Fusobacteriales; Leptotrichiaceae.
GGGGUUGUAGUUCAGUUGGUUAGGACACUUGCCUGUCACGCAAGAGAUCGAGGGUUCGAGUCCCUUCAGCCCCGCCA